This 72-nucleotide transfer RNA is filed under the name Spinacia oleracea (spinach). It matches the Rfam family "tRNA". From Rfam's summary of the family: Transfer RNA (tRNA) molecules are approximately 80 nucleotides in length. Their secondary structure includes four short double-helical elements and three loops (D, anti-codon, and T loops). The record is from Rfam by way of RNAcentral. Lineage: Eukaryota; Viridiplantae; Streptophyta; Magnoliopsida; Caryophyllales; Amaranthaceae.
GCCCUAUUAGCUCAAUUGGUAGAGCAUUGUGCAAAAACACAAAAGAUGUGGGUUCGAAUCCCACGUAGGCUC